UAAGUGCCAUGUCGCCAUUAUACUAAGUCGUUCUGACAUCUUCAAUGCUUAACACUGAAAUAUAUGGUAACCUUUCCCCCUUUCAAAACGGCUUUGUAUCCUCUGAGGUAAAAUCAGUCGUCGUCAUCACUCACCAGUCACCGCCAUGAAGCUCCUUGUCGUUUUCAUCAUCGUCACCCUUAUGGCCGCUUAUUGCCAGGCACAGAGAAUUGCUCAACAACAACAACAACAGCAAGGCGGAGGUUUCAAUAUGAAUCAGUUUCUACAAUUUAUGCUUCAAACUCAGAUGUCAAACACUCAAAAUGCUUUCAUGAUGGCCGCCAUGUCCUGAUUCAGAAACGUAUUCUGAGAAAUAAACGAUGAAAACGUU
Haliotis rubra (blacklip abalone) is the source of this 370-nucleotide long non-coding RNA. RefSeq lists it as uncharacterized. The transcript is spliced from 3 exons. The record is from RefSeq and is a predicted model, not a curated record. Lineage: Eukaryota; Metazoa; Mollusca; Gastropoda; Lepetellida; Haliotidae.